This is a long non-coding RNA of Homo sapiens (human), 1437 nucleotides long. RefSeq lists it as uncharacterized. Lineage: Eukaryota; Metazoa; Chordata; Mammalia; Primates; Hominidae. The transcript is spliced from 3 exons. The record is from RefSeq and is a predicted model, not a curated record.
GAGCUAUAGCGCCCUGCCUGUUCUGGGCUUCUUGCAGAGCCUCUUCAGCUGCAGAGAAGCAGCUCUCCUUUCUCCAAGUCCAGAGCCAACAGGACGAAUAAUGAAGCUGUUGGGAAGAUUUACUGAUAAUACAUGUAAAGGGUCUAGCACAUUUUAGGAGCUCAAGGUUGGUGCCUUCCCUUUUUCUUUACUCUGAACCGGAUAUGAGGCCUUGAGAAAGAAGAGAGGCGCUUGCAAAACGAGGUGAGGUCUCAGGCACAGUGGCUCACGCCUGUAAUCCCAGCACUUUAGGAGACCGAGGCGGGCGGAUCAUGAGGUCAGGAGUUCGAGACCAGCCUGGCCAACAUGGUGAAAGCCCGUCUCUACUAAAAAUACAAAAAUUAGACGGGCAUGGUGGUGGGCACCUGUAAUCCCGGCUACUUGGGAGGUUGAGGGAGGAGAAUCGCUUGAACCCAGGAGGUGGAGGUUGCAGUGAGCCGAGACUGCACCAUUGCACUCCAGCCUGGGCAAUAGAGCGAGACUCCGUCUCAAGCAAGCAAGCAAGCAAACAAACAAAAUAAAAAACGAGGUCAAGUUUCAAAAGAUGUCACCCCCAACCUGGCAAAACUUCUCCUCAAGCCCUGUCGUUCCACUCUUGUCCGCCAGGAGGAGAAAAGGUUCCCUCGAAGGACGUCUUUGCUUGCGCGUUCACGGAGCCUUGAGAACGAGUGGCCGAGGGGACCCCUGCGGCCCUGCGCGCCUAAGGGAGGACCUGACUCCUUUCAGAAUUAGCAUUUCUUCCCCUUCGUGGGUGCUCUUGAGUUCCAAAGAAAAGGAAGAGAAGCCUUCAUUGAGCAGCUUCUUCUGCCUUAGGGACUGUGCUAGGGGGUAGAUCGACCUUAGGGGAAACAAUCCCCGCUUAUUAGAGGAGGUUUUGGAUCAGGGUUUGCUUUAUUUGAAAUUUAACAAAUACAGAAAAGCAGAAGGAAGAAAAUUGAAGUAAUCCAUGUUUCCACUGGGCGCGGCGGCUCACGCCUAUAAUCCCAGCACUUUGGGAGGCCAAGGCGGGCGGAUCACGAGGUCAGGAGUUCGAGACCAGCCUGACCAACAUGGUGAAACCCCCCGUCUCUACUAAAAUUACAAAAUUAGCCGGUCGUGGUGGCACACGCCUGUAAUCCCAGCUACUCAGGAGGCUGAGGCAGGAGAAUCGCUUGAACCCGGGAGGCAGAGGUUGCAGUGAGCCGAGAUUGCACCACUGCACUCCAGCCUGAGCAACAGAGUGAGACUCCGUUGUCUUUAAAGGCCAAUCCCAUAGCAAAUGACAGAGACUCACUUGAGUAAGAAAGGUUUUUGACAAGAAAACCCACAGAAGAAGAGAUAAGCUGUGGAUAUAAGAAAGGCACUACAAUCUGUAUUUAAAUCUAAUUGCACACUAGAUAAUAUAUGUAUGAAAAAUUA